Molecule: transfer RNA, 72 nt
Filed under: Bacteroidales bacterium
Lineage: Bacteria; Pseudomonadati; Bacteroidota; Bacteroidia; Bacteroidales
Also listed under: 1 other name
Description: tRNA-Arg
Rfam family: tRNA
About the family: Transfer RNA (tRNA) molecules are approximately 80 nucleotides in length. Their secondary structure includes four short double-helical elements and three loops (D, anti-codon, and T loops).
Source: RNAcentral
GCUCCUGUAGUUCAAUGGAUAGAAUAGAGGUUUCCUAAACCUUUGAUCAGAGUUCGAUUCUCUGCGGGAGUA